Molecule: ribosomal RNA, 231 nt
Filed under: uncultured bacterium
Lineage: Bacteria
Description: partial 16S ribosomal RNA
Rfam family: Bacterial small subunit ribosomal RNA
Source: RNAcentral
ACAACAGACGGAAACGACUGCUAAUACCGAAUAAGUUCCAAGAGCCGCAUGGCCCAUGGAAGAAAAGGUGGCCUCUACCUGUAAGCUAUCGCCUGAAGAGGGGUUUGCGUCUGAUUAGCUGGUUGGAGGGGGUAACGGGCCCACCAAGGCGACGGUCAGUAGCCGGUCUGAGAGGAUGAACGGCCACACUGGAACUGAGACACGGUCCAGACUCCUACGGGAGGCAGCAUG